AACAAACAAAAAGAAAACAACAACAACAAAAAGAGUCACUUGUUUUUGUAAUUCUAGUAGUCAAAAGAAAUUAGUUACAUGCUACUUUCAUCAUUUACAAUU
RNAcentral lists this non-coding RNA (102 nucleotides) under Tryblionella compressa. Lineage: Eukaryota; Bacillariophyta; Bacillariophyceae; Bacillariales; Bacillariaceae. The record is from RNAcentral.